This 446-nucleotide ribosomal RNA is filed under the name uncultured bacterium. RNAcentral's name for it is "partial 16S ribosomal RNA". It matches the Rfam family "Bacterial small subunit ribosomal RNA", at positions 329 to 792 of the family's 1533-position model. The record is from RNAcentral.
GCCCAGACUCCUACGGGAGGCAGCAGUGGGGAAUAUUGCACAAUGGGGGAAACCCCGAUGCAGCGACGCCGCGUGAAGGAUGAAGUAUUUCGGUAUGUAAACUUCUAUCAGCAGGGAAGAAAAUGACGGUACCUGACUAAGAAGCCCCGGCUAACUACGUGCCAGCAGCCGCGGUAAUACGUAGGGGGCAAGCGUUAUCCGGAUUUACUGGGUGUAAAGGGAGCGUAGACGGCAUGGCAAGUCUGAUGUGAAAACCCGGGGCUCAACCCCGGGACUGCAUUGGAAACUGUCAGGCUAGAGUGUCGGAGAGGCAAGUGGAAUUCCUAGUGUAGCGGUGAAAUGCGUAGAUAUUAGGAAGAACACCAGUGGCGAAGGCGGCUUUCUGGACUGAAACUGACGCUGAGGCACGAAAGCGUGGGGAGCGAACAGGAUUAGAUACCCGAGUA